GAUGAACGCUGGCGGCGUGCCUAAUACAUGCAAGUCGAGCGAACAGACGAGGAGCUUGCUCCUCUGACGUUAGCGGCGGACGGGUGAGUAACACGUGGAUAACCUACCUAUAAGACUGGGAUAACUUCGGGAAACCGGAGCUAAUACCGGAUAACAUGUUGAACCGCAUGGUUCAACAGUGAAAGACGGUCUUGCUGUCACUUAUAGAUGGAUCCGCGCCACAUUAGCUAGUUGGUAAGGUAACGGCUUACCAAGGCAACGAUGCGUAGCCGACCUGAGAGGGUGAUCGGCCACACUGGAACUGAGACACGGUCCAGACGCCUACGGGAGGCAGCAGUAGGGAAUCUUCCGCAAUGGGCGAAAGCCUGACGGAGCAACGCCGCGUGAGUGAAGAAGGUCUUCGGAUCGUAAAACUCUGUUAUUAGGGAAGAACAAAUGUGUAAGUAACUAUGCACGUCUUGACGGUACCUAAUCAGAAAGCCACGGCUAACUACGUG
Molecule: ribosomal RNA, 497 nt
Filed under: uncultured bacterium
Lineage: Bacteria
Description: partial 16S ribosomal RNA
Rfam family: Bacterial small subunit ribosomal RNA
Source: RNAcentral